GGAUAGGUGGCUGAGUGGUCAAAAGCAUUGAUUUUGAAAAUCAAAGUACUUAAAGGUACCGGGGGUUCGAAUCCCUCCUUGUCCG
This 85-nucleotide transfer RNA is filed under the name Stigeoclonium helveticum. RNAcentral's name for it is "tRNA-Ser". It matches the Rfam family "tRNA". Rfam says of the family: Transfer RNA (tRNA) molecules are approximately 80 nucleotides in length. Their secondary structure includes four short double-helical elements and three loops (D, anti-codon, and T loops). Lineage: Eukaryota; Viridiplantae; Chlorophyta; Chlorophyceae; Chaetophorales; Chaetophoraceae. The record is from RNAcentral.